RNAcentral lists this unclassified non-coding RNA (461 nucleotides) under Hevea brasiliensis (rubber tree). Lineage: Eukaryota; Viridiplantae; Streptophyta; Magnoliopsida; Malpighiales; Euphorbiaceae. The record is from RNAcentral.
GAAAUCUUCAUCGUUUUUCAAAUGGAAAGGUUGUUCAGCAACCCUUUCUUGGUUGUUUUCUUCUACUUGUUUCAGACUUUCCGUAGCUGACAAUCCAAUCCCAGACGAAGAGUCCUGAAGGUGUGACGUACUUUUAUCUAGUGGGUUGCUCGCUUCAAGUUCAUGGUUUGCCCAGGAAUCAUUGUUUCCAUGCAGGGUUUUCCAUCUUGAAAGGUAAGAUGAGGGCGGUGAACCUGAUGAUCCCGUUUUGCCAUUACCAAGAACUGGAAAUUCAGCUUCCAAAAAUUCAUGGCCGCCUCCCGUAUAUAGGCUGAGUUCUCGUGGAGUUGCAGACAAUUGAUUGCUGCGAUCUUGCCUUUGCAAUUGAGUUCCAGUCAUCUGUCCUUGACUCCUUCCCUUUGCUUGAGAUUGCCUGCCUCUACAAGUAUUCUGCAAAUAAUCAACCAAGUCAUCAUUACAAU